GACGAACGCUGGCGGCGUGCUUAAUACAUGCAAGUCGAGCGAGGUUACUGUUUUGGAUCCCUUCGGGGUGAAGAAGCUUUAACCUAGCGGCGGACGGGUGAGUAACACGUGAGCAACCUGCCCCAGACUCUGGGAUAACAGUUGGAAACAGCUGCUAAUACCGGAUACGAGACGGAGAGGCAUCUCUACCGUCUGGAAAGUUUUCGGUCUGGGAUGGACUCGCGGCCUAUCAGCUAGUUGGUGAGGUAAUGGCUCACCAAGGCGACGACGGGUAGCCGGCCUGAGAGGGCGACCGGCCACACUGGGACUGAGACACGGCCCAGACUCCUACGGGAGGCAGCAGUGGGGAAUAUUGCACAAUGGGCGAAAGCCUGAUGCAGCGACGCCGCGUGAGGGAUGACGGCCUUCGGGUUGUAAACCUCUUUCAGCAGGGAAGAAGCGAAAGUGACGGUACCUGCAGAAGAAGCACCGGCUAACUACGUG
RNAcentral lists this ribosomal RNA (483 nucleotides) under uncultured bacterium. Its description in RNAcentral is "bacterial SSU rRNA". It matches the Rfam family "Bacterial small subunit ribosomal RNA", at positions 28 to 507 of the family's 1533-position model. The record is from RNAcentral.